AAAAGAGUACCGGUCGUCUAAACCCUUUAGCCACCAAAUCAAAUGAACCAUGAUUUACUGGUCUGAAUACCACCAUUGUAUAAAAAGUAAAAAAAAAAAAAACAUUUAAGCAAAUCCAUAUUCAAAAAGAGAUAUCAUUAAAACCAUCAACCCCAAAGAAAAUAUUCUCACACCCAACAAAGCUUUUUUCUUUUUGAUUUUUACUCACCAACAAACUUUUUUUUGUACAAAAGACAACAAAAUAUUUGGUUUGGAACAACCCAAUAUAUAUAUACUACAGGGUCAUUUAUAUUAGAACAUCCAACAACAAAAUUAAUCACUCUUACUUACCAAUCCGGUUUAUCAUUUGGAUUAUUAGUUGAAUUCGAUAUUUUUCAUGUGCAUUAUAAAGCAGCUUCUACUAAAAAGUUAAAUUUUCCACCGAACACACAUCCUUGAUCCUUUCAAUUUAUUAAAAAAACAAAAAAAAAUAUACUACUACUUAACUAAUCAGCUUUA
Molecule: long non-coding RNA, 498 nt
Filed under: Capsella rubella
Lineage: Eukaryota; Viridiplantae; Streptophyta; Magnoliopsida; Brassicales; Brassicaceae
Description: long non-coding RNA (CRUB_LNC003530)
Source: RNAcentral